UUAGAGUUUAAGUUUGGUUAAAAAUUGAAUAGUAAAGUAUUGAGACUUCUUAUGAGUUUAGCAUGAUAAAUAGAUGCAGAACCAUAUCAGUUGAAGAAAAAAGCCUAGCAAUUCUUUUUAUCUACUUUUCCUUAUGACUUGUAAUUUCCUACUAGAAAGCAGUGAUUUAAAUAAGCACUUGGGCAAGCCGAGGCGAGGCCCGAGCGCCUCGUGUGUGCACUAGACGGUACGCUUCAAUGAGGCGCCGCUUGGGCACUCGCUCAAACGCAAGUGCUGGGCGCUUCGGGCGAGCGCCCGAUUCUAUUAGGCGAAUCGAAUCGGUUUAAUGUUGGUUCGGUUCGUAGUUUCUUACCUCAAAACCACGCUUCACGCCCGCACGACCCCGAGGAACCCUAGUGUCGCUUCUAUCUUUGCUGUCGACGUUUUCUGCCGCUGCCUUCGUUGCAGACGCAACGAACCAAGCCUUCCCUUAUUGUCGACGGAUGAGUCCGAUGGCCCCCGUAGCUUCCUUCCACUGUUGAGGGAGAGGACCGUAGGUUCCUCCGCCACCAUCGGAUGCCCUUUGGAGCUUCCGUCGUUGCUGUCGCUGUUGUCCACAGCUUUCACUGCCGUCAUCGCUACUGUCCGCAGCUUCCGUCGUUGCCACUGCUACUGUCCACAACUUACGCCGCUGUCACUACUACUGUCCGCAGCUUCGCUCGCUGUCGCUGCUACUGUCCACAGCUUUUGCCAUUGUCGCUGCUGUCAUUCGCAAUGCUGCCACAACUAUCUUAAACUAAUCCUCCGCCGCUGCUUCUAUCUCCCUCUGUUACUGUUAACAUUUUUUUUCCCCCUUUAACUUUAAAUAAUAUAUUGUUAACAGUAUAUUUUAAAUUAAUAUCAUAUUUUAAUUUAAAUAAUUAUAUUUUUAAUUAUAUUAUAUAUUUUUAUAUUUUUAUAUUUUACUGAAUAAUUUUUCUCCCCCUCUAACUUAAGUAAUAUAUUAUUAACAGUAUAUUUUUAAUUUAAUAUUAUAUUUUUAUUUAAAUAAUUAUUUUUAAAUUAUAUUAUAUUUUUUAUAUUUUAAUAUUUCAGAGCGUCUCGUUUCGCUCGGGCAAGCGCCUAGCACCUCGGGCGUUUUGGGAUCUUAGCGCCUAACGUUUUUAAAAUCACUGUUAGAAAGCAUAAAAAAGAGAUCAUGAAGCAUAAAUUCAAAUAUGGACUACCAAUAUUCACAGGGAUAUGUCACAUCCCGAAAGGAAGAGAUAUGAUAUGACAUAUAAUGUGUUAAACUUCAUACACUGUUUUGUAUGAUGAAUGUAAUGAGCCUCCCAAUAUAUUGGCAAGAAUGAAAAUACUUCUAAUCACAUAAUGCUUCAAGAAUAUAGAGAAGGUAAUCAUAAUCAGAUUCUUGAUGUAUAUGUCAUAUACCAGUCUUGUACAUUAUAAUACAACAACAACAACAACAACAUCAGUCUUGUACAUUAUAAUGUCCUGACUAUUUGGGUUUAGCUCUGUGGAAAACUUUUCCACCAUGAAAGCAAUUAAGAUUCAUGAUCACAAGAUCUAAUAUAGUUUUAGCAGUGUAAGUCCUAUACAUUGUAUUAUCAACUCAAGAAAUUCUUUUAAUAUGGUAUUCAGGAAAUUUUAUCCUCAAUGUAUUUGAUUUUAGACAACAUUUUAUUAGAUCAUUCAAGGAAACAUACAUCAUGUACCUGAAGAUGUGACAAUGAGCAUUUGUAUCUGACACAUUGGUAUGAGUACAAUAAACUGGCAAUGAUAUAAGUACUAGUACAGAACUGGAAUAUGUUGCCUUGAACUUGGGAUAUGAUUUGAAGAGUUCCUGAUGUUAAUAUUGGUAGCUAGAAUGUAUAUGACACUAUAUGUGGAUCAUAGAUGGAUGCAACUUAUGGGAUGAGUGUGGGACAGAUGACAUUAAUUUCUAAUUUGAAGUUUAAAGUUCAAGCAACCAAUAAUGCCUUAGACAUUUGAUGGGAAUCCAUCUGGUGAAGGCUUACUAUUUUAAAGUUCUAUAGUGUCAAUGAGAGGGUUAGACACAUGAGAUUGAGAGUGGAUAAGAAUAUUGAACAGAUGAAAUUGGUGUAUUGAGUGUUCAAAUAAUUAGUAGUGUAUUAAACAUUUUAAAAAAUGAGGCUUGCUAUCAGAGCCGGAGUGUGAUCAGGGUUAGAUAUAUAGCCUUCAUGACUGUUAAAUUGCCAUUUUUCCUGAUAGCCAUAAAAAAACACUCAGGUACUUACAAAUUAUCUGAUCAAGUAGGUGCGGAAAGCUGAUUGAGGCCAUAAGGAGACAUCCAACACUGGACCUGGAAUUUCACAUUGUGGAUAACUUUUGUAAAAGGGAUGAUCCAAAAAUUUUGCUAAGAAUGUAGCAACAGUUUCUUGAAUGGCCUUAACACAGUACGUAGCUUGCUUGCUUAUGUGUCGCUCUUAGAUCAUUUUAUUUUCUUUGGAUUUUUUCAUUCAAAAAAUUGCAAUUUGCUGAAAGGUUUAUGGCAAAUUUCGAGAUCCAAAUGUAGGAUAAGCUUCUUUGAUCUUGCAAGUCACCUGCAGCUUAUUGUGAUAGUUUGCUUAUGGGAGUUUGUAAAUGUUGCUUCAAUUGCUUUUCGAAAUUCCUUCUGUAGGCCACUAGAGUGGUUUAAGGUGGUAUUUGUAUUGAGAAUUAAAUAAAAUAGUCAUCGUACUAAUGAUUUGAUCACAUUAUCUUUGCCUAUAGCAACAAAUUUAUUUAGGUCAGAUUUUUCUACUUCUUGGAGCAAAUGCUCCAGACGGUUAGGUUAAGACUUACCUGCGCUAUCUUUUUCAUGUUUGAUCAUGUGCCAAAUACAUUCUCUUUUCUUUCCUGUCCUCUUACUACUUUAAUUCUUGCUGUGGUUUCCGAACAAAGAGGAAUUAAGAGAACAGGACACAUUGGAUCAUUUUCUUGCAUUGGCUUAAUAUAAUUAUAUUGUUUAAUCAGUAAUUCGGGUCCAUAACAUGAGUCAUUUUUUUCUCUCAUUUUUCUCCAGGCUCAGGCUCUUCUAAGCUAUUUCCGAAACCAACGGCAUGGUGGUGCUGGGAGGAGAUGAUCACCUAGGUUUAGGUUUCUCAGUUCUAUGUAAUUAUCACGACUGUCGUCAGAGUUUCCUAGCAUUUUGAUGCGUUGAAGAUUUGUCGGGUUGUUUUCCUGUAUAAAAAAAAAAAGACUGAUCUGUACAGCGUUCCUCGGCGUCAGUUGAUUCUUUUCUCGUUGCAGUAUUGCUGUCUGUACGGGUUUAUUUCAUGUAUCACAUAUAGUGAUCUCUUUUCUGUAACAUGCGGCUUCCAAUUCCAUGGAACCUCUUAUGCUCUCUCCUGUUCAUAGAAAAUAGUUGCUGUCCGAAGCACUUUCUCAAAAUAUAUUCCAAUGUAUACGUAGUUCUGUAUAUGUCAAUUCACUUUAUCACUGUGGCAUUUGUUCCUCUCUCGAAAACACUUUCUCAAUGCUCGAUGAAAUAGUCGAUAAAUUAGUAGCGACUCUAAAUGGUUGAUCCUAUAUGCGCGUGCUUUGAUUGCAAAUGUAUGUUUGACAUGAUAAGUAUAUAUGUUUGCUGGAUGCAUGGAAUCACCAAUUCAUGGCUGAGGUAUGUUUGGUGAAACACAAGUGACUUGAGCAACCAUUGUUUUAUUCGAAGAAUCCUAAGAGACGUCUUCUUCUUCUUCUUCUUCUGCUGCUGUAUUGUUUUGGACAAUCUCAAGGGAAGAAAAGGCAAAUGGUGGACGGCAUUCACAACUUGACCCACUCGGAGCCGUCGAUGAAGCUUAAGGUAAUGAAAGGCUUUGCUUCCUCGUCCGUGAGCUCCCUCGACCAUGAAACCCUUCCCGCGUAGCUCGCUCCCGGGCCGCUGCACUUGUACUGCCCGUAGAACACAGUCCUGUUGUAUCAUCACAAAUGCUGUGUGAGACUCUGAUCGCCUCAUCAUACAAGUUGUGGUAAGGUAGGGGGCUUACAUCUCUCUGUUGGGGUCUCCCCAGUUGUACCAUCCUCUGGGGACGAUGAUGGCGUCCAUGUACGUGUAGGCGAAGAUGACCCUGGAGAAGGUUCCCCAUGCCCGCCCCAGGUAGAGCGCCCCCGACCCCGUCACCUUGCAUCUCACGAACGAGAACCCUGUGUCCUCCAAAAGGUUCAUCCGGUUCUGCGCCGUGACGGCGCCGUAGUUCCGCGCCACCGCGUGGACACGACAUCCCUGCACCAACACCACGACUCAGACACAGACGCAACAGUGCCACAGCACGUGAAUCGGGUCUCGCAGCACAAAGCGGCGCUUGUCCCCACGGCGCACUCGCCUCGUGCUGCUACGUGACAAGCGGAAGCUUGCCGUGAACGCAUGGUGUGUGCAGAUUAGGUUCUGACCUCGUAGAGCGAGAGAGCGUUCCCGAAGAUGAAAUCCACAGAGCCUUCGAUGUAGCAAUCCUUGUAGUAAUGCCUGCCGAAGUGAUCGUAGAGCGUGUCUUGUGCCCCCAAAAUAUUGCAGCCCACAAAUGUCGCCGCGUCCGCGGACACCCUCAGCGCCACCGCCUGCUUCCCCAUCGCCCCUGGUGGCGGAACAGGGGUUGUGUUCUGCAAACAGCAACAAACAAUGAACUCCCCAAAGCUUCAUCCUGAAACCGUGUAAUUUACUUUACCUUGAAGGUGAUGUUCUUUGCCAUGAAAUAAGGGGCAUUGACAGCGAAGGUGGCGGAGUUGAAGGUCCCGAUGGGCUGCCCUGUCGGCCCCAGUGUUUCGGCUGUGUCACCCCACUGAACCACCGUCUUACCAGCUCCUGCUCCUUGUAUGGUGACGAAGGCUCUCAUCGGCGAUAUCCGCACCUUCUCUCUGUUCCAAGAAAUCAACCAGCAAGUGUCGUGAUUCCACACAUCAGAGCUUGUAUGUACGUGUGAUGAGGUAGAAAGGGAACGACACUCACGUGUACGUGCCGGCAUUGACCUUGAUCACAACUCGCACCAAAUUGAUGAGAGGCAGAGAGUCGACGGCAGCCUGGAUCGUCGUGAAGUCUCCGGCCGACGGGUUUUUGUCGACGGUGAGCGCGCGGGAAGAGAAGGCCUCGUUCACUGCCCUGCCGAAGGCACUGUGCCGGAGGCUGCCGACGAACUUGACCCACAGCAUGAACUGCUGCUCCGUCAACCCCCCCUGCGUCGAGUUCUCCGGGUACUGCUCCGACGGCGCCCGCGGCGACCGGAGUCCUUUUGUGUGGCAGAGGACACGACCGCUGUCUAAUAGAAUCAAAAGAAUUGUGAUGAAUGCUACAGCCCGGAAUCUGAACAUCGUGAGGAAAAGUGGUGGUGGGAAUGACUGAGAGAUCACGAGCUAUUUAUUCUACUGGCAACCAAAAAGUAGAGUACUGCUACUUCUAUGCAUGUACAUAUUUCUUUAGUGCUUUGUUGACACGAUUCCCUUUCUGUGUUUUGGAAUUGCCUUUGUUCUGUUGUGGAUCGAUUCACCUGUUUGUGUUUUCUUUUAUGAUGAUAAGAAUGAUGUGUGUUCUUCCAAAUGCUACUUUUAUUUCUUUUGGUUUCUUUCGGUAGUGUUGAUGUUGGUUGUUUGCUUCUUCUUGGUCUAUUAUUUCGUUGUUGCAGCCCGUGAUCUCUCUCUCUCUCUCUCUCUCUCUUGCCGAGGACUAAGCUUGUGAUUGUCGUCAUUUAACCUUUAGGUCUUUGUGGCUCUUAGGUAUGUGUGAUAAAGGCAUGGUUAUUUUAUAGGAUUAAUUAUAAAAGUAAAAUAUUUAAUCUUAUAAUUUUAUAUUUUUUUAAUAAAAUUUUUAUAUUAAAAAUUUUAUAAUUAUAAAAAAUAAAAUAUUUAAUCAUAUUUAUCCUAAUAUUAUCAGUUUCCCUAAUGGAAGAUACAUGUAAUAACAUGUACAUGAAUGAUACAAAAAUGAUAGACAAAAAGAUAAUUUCAACGAUGGUAACGGACGAUGGUGUCAUAGAUGGUUGUUAUGAUGGUAGUUGACGAAAACGAUGUGGUGGUCGGCCUUACUGAUGUCGAUCCGAAUAUGAACGAUGAGGAAGAGAAAGCAAAGCGGUGAGACAUCUGCGUCGGUGCCAAAGGAGGAAGAGAAGGGAGGUGAGGCAUUUGCAUUAGCACUGCACUGCUUUGCCUCCUCUUCCUCCUCCAAUGCUGCUCUAUAUUUGUAUUGAUGUCGGAGGAGAAAGAGGAGGCAAGCAAGACAUCUAUGUUGCUGACGAGGAGGAGAGAGGAGGUAAAUGAUGCAGAGCAGUGCGGCACCGAGGCAAAUGCAGAGCAACGCUGAAGGAGGAAGAGGAGGUAGAGUGGUGCGCGCGUUGAUGCAUAUGCCUCCUCUUCCUCCUCGGAUGCCACAUCGUAGGCUAUCAUACUCUCAAAUUUUGCUAAGGCAAAUGGAGCAAUUGGUGCCCUACAUCGAUCUCUCGUCUUUUCCGAUACUUGUGGAUUGUGAUCUUGCUAAUUAAUAUCUUAUCAAGCCCAUUCAACGAGACUUCGAAUGCUACCCCAUUGAAUGGGCUUGAUGAGGCAUUAAUCAGUAAAAUCAUAAUCCAUAAGUAACAAAAAGGUAAGGGAUCGGUGCAAGGCAUCGAUUGCUCCGUUUGCCUCAACGAAUUCUAAGAGGAUGACAACAUGUGGUGCGACACUAGAGAAGGAAAAGAAGGUAAGUGAGGCAUUUGCAUCGGCGCGACACAAGUCUACCUCACUUGCCUUCUCAUGUGCCAUCUCUUCUCAUUGUUAGCGAUGCAAAUGUCUCACUUGCCUCUUCUUCCUCCUCGAGCGCUAACACAGAUGAGGAGCAAUGCCGAAGGAAGAAUAGGAGGUAGAGUGGUAUAAUGCCGACGUAAAUGUCUCACCUCCUUCCUCUUCCUUCUUUGGCACUAACACAUGUGUCUCGUUACUCUACCUUCUCUUCCUCAUUGUUGUUAAUAUUUGAAUUGACAUUGGUGAGAUCGAUCACCAUAUCGUUCUCAUCGACUAUUAUCACAAUAGCCACCUACGAUGUCAUUGUCCAUUAUAACUAUUGAAGUUACUUUUUGUCCAUAAUUUUCAUGUAUGUGUUAUCAUGUACUAUAUCUUUCAUCAAUAAAAUCGAUAAUAAUAGGUUGAAUAAGAUUAAAUAUUUAAUUUUUAUAACUAUCAUAAUUUUAAUAUAAAUUUUUGAAGUGUAGAGAUGAAGAUACUAAAGAAAUCUAACUAUAACGAGAUAAUAUGUAAUCAUUAGUUGAGAUAUAAGCGAAUUGAGGUUGAUAACGUGCAUGUUCAUAAACAAUUCAUCCUUAAAAUAGCUGUGACUAUCACAUGUAAUUAGCGCAAGAGACUACUGUAUACACCACAACAUGACCUAUGUGACUCGCAGAACCCUUACAUGUGCCUAAAUUUACGAAAUUACACAGAUGGCACCGAUACACAGAAAUUACGGACGCCCCGUGCCGGGUUUUCGACGCUUUCGUCUACUGUCCGAUCUCUUCCUUGGCCGAUAGGGGGGAGGUGGAUUUUAUCGGUAAAUUCCCAUCUUCGAUUCUUAAUCUCUUGAUCGAAAUGCCUCCAAUCUCUAAAUGGAGCCGUUUUCCCGUGAUUCCUUUCAUCUAACGGUUUAGUCGGAUCUAGGGUUUGUUUCUCCCUGAUAUUCUCUCGAUCGUCGGUAGGGGUUUCGAUCUCGAUUGGUUUUUAUGCCAUUCUCGCUUUGAUUAUUUUUGGUGUUCUUUUGGUCUGGGUCUGUGAAAUAUACGUGAGUUUGCACCCUCAUGUGCUUCUUGAUCUUUUGAUCUCCGUGGCUUGCGACGCUUACUUUGCAUGAUUUAGAUGUCGUUCUUGAAAUGGAUGGUUGACGAAAAGAAAGUGGUUUUGCACUUGUUUUAGUUGGUGGAUGGCGUCCAAACUGCAUCAGCUUCGAUCUAAGGCUGUUCAAGCCUCGGAGUUUGUGGCCAAGAACGGGUGCGCUUACUACAGGGAGCUUUUGGAGAAGAACAAGCAGUAUAUUGUUCAACCGCCCACCAUCGAGAAGUGUCAAGAACUGUCAAAACAGCUGUUUUACACACGUCUUGCAAGGUUUGGCUUUGUAUGCAUCCUGUGCUGCCUGUUUAGCUGCUUUGUUGAGGCAUAUGUAGGGGCUUAUUCUGUUACUUUCAUCAGCAUAUGAAUUAGCCUUCGUGGGUGGCAUGGUAUUCCACGGCAGAGCUUGUUAUCGUGGUUUGGCUUCCUUUGGCUGUUCUUCUGUGCUGAGCAACAGUCAUAGUGAAGGGAUAAGCCAACAUUUGAGGGUUUCCUCUCAAAUUGUUUUCUAUGGUGUGUAUUAGUUAGUGAAUAUAGUCUCUUUGCAUCAUUAUAUUUCUCGUCAUAAUGACUAAAAAUGGACUCCAACGAUAAACCCCUUGGACUACAGAAAAUAGCCGAAAUUCAUAGGACAGAUAAUUUCCUUGGUUGCUUUAGUGUGUAAAAUCUUGCCUUGAAAUGAAAAUACAUAUUGGAGAAUUGAGAUGUCACAGAGAUAGGAAAUUUACCUUGAAGCUGCAGUUAACAUUGGAACUUAUACAUGUAAAUAAAGUACGUUAGUCGAAAAAGAUCUGUCAUUUAAAGCCAAGAUCUUAGCUUAGUGGACACACUGCAAUGAAAGGUUGUGAGUUAUUUAGAUUGGUCGAAGGUUAUCUUUGUCAGUUGGGUAUGGUCGGAUCUUCUCCAAUCGUCUCUCAAAUAUGAUAAAGUACCUCUCUCAAAUUUCACCUGUCUGUCUUGCCUUUGCACACCUACCUUUUUCUUUUCCAACAAGUUGAUCUCAUAAGGCUCUCAUCUAAGCCAGUCAUCAUUCUCACAAAUCAGAUAGUUCUCAAUUAUCCUUCUACUGCAGUAAUGAAUUUCCUACUCCAUCCAGUUUUCAGGUGCAAAAAUCAUGCAGUAUCCAGGAUUCAUCUGUAGGACAUUGGCCAAAAUUACAUUACCUGGAACACAUUUGACGAAUGAUAGCUGUGCACCAGGACAUACAUAUAGAGUGGCACCAGCCUUAACAAUGAAGUUGAACUUUGUCCUAAGCUAUUACCAAAGAAAUAAGCAUGAAAUAGAUAUAAGGACAACAAAUUAGUCUCUCAUCAUUUGCAAAUUACUAUAUUGAAAGAGACUUGUCAAUGUUCCAAAAAAAGAACCCAUUAAAUUGAAAUGUGAGGAAUUCUAUAUCAGCCAUUGCAUUCUUGGUCAGGAUUUAUCAUUCAAAUUUAGAUAGACACUUCAUUUUCCACCAGGAUUUCCUUAGGAUGAAACCAACUAUGAAGUCAUCCCAUGAAACCUCCGAUGAUAAAUCAUUAUUUGAGAUCCACAUUUUUAGUCUAGUGAAAAUGUGCUAGUGCCUAAUACUGGGAGACAAAUUGCGUAUAUUUGUUUACACUUGAAUGUUUGCCUAUCUAGAGUGUUUCAUUGGAUAUGCCAUAACUUGAUAUAUAUACAUGCAUGCAUGCAUGCAUGUGUGUGAACAUUAAUGGUAUUUUAUAUAUUAUAUGAUUCCUUAACUUUAACUAAUUUUACCAUGGUUAGAAAUGGUUAAUCUGUGUUGUGUGUGUGUGUUAAAAUUUGUAAUGCAAAUACUAGGUUAUAUACUUGCAAUCUCCAGGAAUUGAAGCAGCAGCUUUCGGUGAGCAUUCAAAGACACUUAUGUCGUUAGGUUUUUUGUGUUAUUUUGCAUGAAAUUGAUUCUAGUUUCCUAGUCGGACUUACUUUCAGAAAACCAAAAGCAUCAAUACUUGUUUUUCUUUUUUAUUUGCUUGGAGAAGUGACUUCAAUUUAUUCGAUGAUGUUCCUGUUCAGAGAUUGUCUGUUUUGUGUGACAUACCUAUUUCCUACAUUGCACAAUCCAUAAACCAUUCUUUUAGAUGUUAUCCUGCAUGGUUAAAAGGUCUAGUAUGAUACUGUAAAUAUUUAAUUCUGGUUGGGCCAAGCGCAUGUUCAGUUUCUGGAAGAAAAAGAAGUUUAGGCUUAAGAACAAUUAUGUGUCGAUACUAACAUCUUGUAAUCACAGCAUCCCUGGUCGUUAUGACUCAUUUUGGAAGGAGCUUGACGGAGUGAAGCACAUAUGGAGAAACAGAAAGGAACUUAAAGUUGAGGAUGCUGGCAUCGCAGCAUUGUUCGGGCUUGAAUUAUAUGCAUGGUUCUGUGUUGGUGAGAUAGUUGGAAGAGGGUUUACUUUCACUGGCUACUAUGUUUAGAACCCCUGGUUAUGAAGCAAGUUGACAAUAUCCCGGUCUAAAUUUUUAUUGUUGGAUGAUGAGUUUUUUACCUCAUUUUUUAUCCUUGCCCAUAAAUUCAUUAAUCUGGUGGUCAGCAAGACUAGUGACAGUCCCCAAAUAAUUUGAUGGCUCAUUUCUCUCCAGAGUCCACAACUACUCUUGCACUUCUUCAUGGCUGUGCAAGAAACACUCUUUUACAUGAUCAAUUUGUAUAAAAAAGAGAGCCCACUUACUUCUAAAAACUAUUUCAGUGAAUCAUAUCCUUGAUUACUAUUCUCGUCAUUAUGGAGAAAUCAUGUUUUCACUUAUUGGAUGAAUGAUAAUAAUGUCUACUAUUUACUUGCUUUUCAGGAUCUUGUGUUCAUGAUAUGGCUGUCCGUGGCAUGUUUUUGUGCUUUCCUUGUGUUAAAACAAUGUGGUGUGGCAGUAGCAUGGCAUAGAUCAUUGUUGUUGCCCUAAUUUGUUACUAACAUGGGUACUCAUUUUUGUUCGAGUUCUAACAUCCGACUGCUUCUACGGUGCUUACAUGAAUUGCCCAUAAAAGCUCUAGGAGGAGCCUCCAAUGGGGUGCCUCACCAAGGUUGACUAUGGUAAAUAGUUCGUGAUCAAAUCACUUUCUAAAGUUUGACCUGGAUGAGUCUUUUAUGAUAUGGACUUAGAAGCUUUUUAGCUCAUUUUACAAGCUAAUUAUAUAUUAUAUUAUCUCGUAUAAGAGAUCUCUUUAUCAUCUCAGUCCUUAGACUUAAAAAAAAUAUAUAAAAAUAUCUAUAAUUGUUAAAGUAAAAUAUUUAAUAUCAAUUGUCCUAUGUUGUCGGUUUUACUGACGAAAGAUAUAGCACGUGUACGAACGACACAAAAAUAAUAGACAAAAAGAUAAUUUCGAUGGUAUUGGUAGACAGUAGCAUUGUGGUUAGUUGUUGUGAUGGUGGUCGGCCUUAUCAAUAUUGAUGUCUAUACGAACAUCGACGUCAAAGAGGAAGAGAAGGCAGAGCGAUGAGGCAUUUGUGUUGAUGCUGCAUCGCCUUGCCACAUUUUCCUCCUUCGGCGUCACUCUACAUCUACAUCAAUGUUGGAGGAGGAAAAUGAGGCAAGUGAAACAUCUGCAUUGGUGUCGCGCUCAAAUCCUUGGACAGUCACUUCGUCUAGUGGCACGACAUAUUCGAGGAAGGGGUGGCAACGAUGAGAGAGAGGUUGCAAACGAGCUCGGUAAAGAGGUGCACAUGUUUCGAGCUUUUGAACUUUAGCUAGUGUGCGAACGACAUGUAUGCCCCGACCACAGCGACAUGGUUGCUGACCUGCUUCUGGAUAAGCUCCACACGCGAUUGGAGGGGAUUCGAUCAGACGACGAAGACUGAUUAUCGCACAAAAUAGAGGCCCAAAUAGUACAAAUCUGAUGGCACGAGAGACAACAAACCCUCGUCCUCCUCCCCGCUCUCCUCUAACACUAUGGUGGUGAGGGAGAGUAUCAGAAAGAUAGCAACAAUGAAUAUGGCGACCGAGACGACGAAGAAAUGGUGGAGUGUCGCAUUGCAGUUAGCCUUCGGAUUAGGAAUCAUCGUUUUGGCUAAGGUUUCAAGAUCAAUCGAUUGUAUCCGCUCUGCCUUACAUGCCUCCUCUUUCUCCUUUGGUGUCGAUGCAGACGCAAAGCAGCAUUGGAGGAAGAAGAGGAGGUUGAGCGGUGCAACGUCAACACAGAUGCCUCAUCUCCCUCCUCUUCCUUCUCUGGUGUCGAUGCAGAUGCCUCACCGCUCUGCCUCAUCUUCUUCCUUGGCGUCGAUGUUCAAAUCGAAAUCGACAUGGUCGACCAUCGCAUUAUUGUAGCCGAUCACCACCACAAUAGCGACCCUCGGCACCAUCGUCCAUCACCAUCGUUGAAAUUAUCUUUUUGCCCAUUGUUUUUAUAUCAUUUAUGCACGUGCUGUGUUUUUCGUCGGUAAAAUCGACGACGUUAGGGUAAAUGAGGUUAAAUGUUUCACUUUGAUAACUAUAGGGAUUUCAACGUAAAUUUUUUAAGUCUAGGGAUCGAGAUGCUAAAGAGAUCUAAUUACAAGGAGUAAUAUGUAAUAAGCUGCUACCACUAUUGAAAUUAUCUUUUUAUCUAUCGUUUUCGUAUCAUUCAUGUACUACUAUUACGUGUUAUAUCUUUCGUCGUUAAAGCAUAUGACAUUAAGAUAAAUGAGAUUAAUUAUUUUACUUUUAUGAUUAUAAAAAUUUUAAUAUAAAUUUUUUAAGUUUAUAGAUCGGAAUACUAAAGAGGUCUAACUACAUAUAAUUAGCCUUCAUUUUGUUUGCGUCCUUUCAUGUUUCAUAUGAGCCACAAUUUCAUAAGCUUUGAUCUGUUCUUAUGCUCGUAUUCCUUUCAUAUACCUUCAUGAGUUGAAUUUAAAUUGUAUCAAAAUAUGUGAAUAUAUGACAAAUUAUUAAUUUAUAUUUACUAAUCUCAUAAAGAUUCUUCAUUGAAUUUCCAGAGUAUACAAUAUAUAACUUAUUCAUUAUAUUGUUUUUGUUUUUAUUUGAGAAAUAUGAUCGACUGAUUCAAAUUAGUUUCUCAAUUAUGUGAUCGUGUUAUCCGACAUGCUCUCUUAUGUAUCAUCCAAAACACGAUUUGAUGAUGCCUUCGUUGUUUAAGCAAUAUUGCUUUAGAGUUUCUGUAUGAUUUCGUAUUGUACAUCAAUAUGGCUUUUGUCCUAUUUGAUCGCAUAUUUCUGAUAAAUGCUCGUAACGACAGGGCGCUACUGAUGUGAUUAAUUCACACACACACACACAUAUAUAUAUAUAUAUAUAUAUAUAUAUAUAUAUAUAAAACUCAUGAGGCCAAUUAUUACAAUUAUCUGUAUAUAUAUGUGUGCAGGUAUUUAGAUUUUAUAAGAAUAUGGAUGCUAUAUAUAAAUAUAUUAGUCAAAUUCAAAAAUAAUUUAUUUUGCAUGUAGAUAAAUGCAAUAUUAUGCACUAUAUAGUAUGGGGAAGCGUGAAGAUUUGACUGUUUUCCCGCCUCAUCCAACUAUAUAUUUUGGUUUGACAAAAAAUAAUACCGAGAUGCUUUUCCUGACGACUUUCCUGUACUUUAGGUGCGACAGCCUGGUCCCACUUACUUUAUCCUAUCACAAGGUAGGUAGUUGAACGGGUGACCGGAACACGUUGGGAAGGUACUGUUGUAACAAACAACUGUGAUCCCGUCACCGUUGGGAUUCCGGAAAAAGACCACGGGACUAAAUGCUUUUUUUGUACUUGAUUUAUUUGUAGGGCAUAGGCAAGUUUAGUUGGGUCCCGUUAACUCCAUCCAAUAACCAGGCGGGUAGAUGGUGAAAGAUGGUUGCGAAGUUAUAUGUUAGUAAUACUGGUGAUCUCGUCACCGCUGGUACUCAGGACUAGACACCGAGAAAGCGACCUCUUUUGCCUCCCCCUCUUUCUAUCUCACUCGUCUCCCUUGUUGUCCGUCGCCCUUCAAAGGCGCUCCUUUUCCUUUGGUAUCUAUCCCUCUUUUCCACGCCGAGGUCUGACAGGGGAGAGAGCAGGUGCGAGCGACUGAAUCCCUCGCCGCCGGAUGAAUGGGAUCGGAUAGCAUCGAGUGUGUGUCUUCGAUCGACGGGAUGGAUGAGGAGGACACCGCCCGUACCCAAUCCUCGAAGCCCCACGGCGGCGCCGCCCCUCCCGCAGGAAUCGCCCCCUCCACGAGCGUACACGAGCUGCUCGAAUGCCCCGUCUGCGCCAACUCCAUGUACCCCCCGAUUCACCAGGUCGAUUCCUUUCCCUUAUUUCAAUUUGAUAUUCUGAUGAUCUUGCGACCUUGCGGCUUAUUCUGGCAUUUGAUUUAUAAGGUGUGGUUUGGCUAUGGCUAUUUUCGAUGGGGUAAUUGGGGCAAAUGCGGCAACCUAAUGUGCUUUUGAUUUGUAAUUUCUCAAAAUUUUCGUCGUUUGGGUGAUACAAUAUGCAACUAUAUAAUAAAAUUGAUUAUUCGAGCACGUACUUCACAAAAUUAUACCUUUUUAAGACGAUGGAUAGUGAGAUGAUAUGUGUUUGUCGAACACUUCAAUAAUCUGACUCUUGGUUCUCUUGGAUGUCGUGGGAUUAUGAUUUUUUAAUUUUCAAGUAAUUUCUUCUUUUUAUUUAAAUUUUCCUUGUGCUCAUUUUAUUGAUUUCUAUCAUGUGAUUGAUUGUGGUUGUGAAAUUAAUAUAGGAUCCCGUUCGCAACAUUGGUUGAAUUGGUUGAACUUGCACAAGUCUGUCCAAUAUUUAGGCCUUGGAAUUCUGGUUGUGAGUGACUAUUUGGACAUUUGUGAAUUUCCAAGAAAUUGAUGGUUUAGGCUUCUCAUUGAUAGUUGGGCAUAGCCCUCAAAGAAGUCCAGUAAGUAUAUGACAAUUCUGAUUGAUCUGAUAUUAUUGUUUCUUUGUGUCUUUCUGGUAUGAUACUUGUCAGUUUGAGGCGUUAUUGUUCUAGCUUAAGUCAAUGGUUAAAAGCUGCUCUAAUGAACUUUCUGCUCUUGUGAACUAAUGAAUUGAUUCAUGUUUUGGGGAUAAUAGUGAGCUGCAUAUCUUUUCAAUGUCUAAUGUCUUGCUGAAAAAUGCACAUUUACUUUUGACAUUUGCUAGCUAAAGUUGUAGGCUAAUUGAUUUUCUUGUUUUUGGUUAAUUUUUUAUUAGUUAUUAUUGUCUUUGUAGACAAUGCUUAUGAGUUUCUUGUUCCAAUUUUGGUUAAUGGUUGGCUUGAAUAUUUGACUAAUCUUUAUAAUACUUGGCAAUAGGGUUUGCUUCUUGGAAUUUUGUAGGUUCACACUCUCUAGUUGCCCAGCAUGUUAAUACAUGCAGAUGCUUGAAAUUAUGAAAUUUAUUGAAUGUUGUCUAUGCAUAUUUGAAACAUGUGAUUGCUGGCUGAAUAAUUGGUUUCCAAGGAUGGAAAUUUGGCAUCGUUACUGACAAUUCAAAUGUUAAACCACUAUAGUCUCUCUGUUGUUGUUGAUCUUCUAAGGUUAGCAAGAAGCAUGUUUCUCUGACUCAUUGUGGUUCUUCUAUGCCAUUAAGAAGCAUUUAUUUUCCAAAUUAUAUUAAUAUCUGGUGUUCUUUUGCUGCUUAUUCAUUCACAGAGAUGGUACUUUUGAACAAUUAAGCUUAAACUGUUUUGCAUGCUUCACAUUUACACUGGUGGUUAUGGCAAGAAGAUGUCUCUUAUCUGUCAAUCUGUCCUUGCUUAUCUGAUAAAAAAAAGGAUGUCCUAUCAUCUAGUUAUUCCUUUAGGUGUUUUACGCUAUCGUAGUUCCUUAAUUAUCAGACUAAAAAUUAUUUGUUUACUAAAUCAAUUAGUCAACUGUUCAUAAUUUCUUAGGUACCAGCAAUGUCAUCUGCAAUUGGGGUUCAGAAUCCACAUUUUUUUGCAAACUUGUGAAGUAUAAAUGAAUGAUAUAGAUUUUUUGUUUGUUAGCAAAAUAGAAGGCAAUGCUGUAUGAGAAGAGAUAAUGAGUUUAUUUUGUCAUGCAUAUCCAAAGAGUGGGUGUGUCGUUAAGAUAUUACAAUUAUGCUAAAAUGACUGACAUCAUAGUUCAAAUUGGUGCCUAAUCACCACAGGUUUUUAGUUUUACCCAUUUGGGUGGCUAUUUAUUCCUCUAAAAGAUUAUCUUCUGUUGACAAAACUAAUUGAAUUACUAACACAUGUUAUUUCACAUAGAGGAUAAACUAGCUAUAUACCAGUUUUAAAACUCUAUGCUAAAGUAUUAUAUGUACUAGACAUGUGCGUUCAAAAAUAUGACCUAAAGAUAUAUGUCCUCAAUUUUUCUGGAUUCUACUCCUUUUUCUAAAUGUUUUAUUAUGCUGAAGAAGAGAGAAAAACAUAUACAUUUACUAUAUGGCGGACAAACAUGAAGCAACAUUGACUCUAUAAGCUUUGGCAGAGUACAACAACAACAACAAAGUCAUAAAUCCCAACUAUUUGGGAUCGGCUACAUGGAUCUUUUGUCACUAUUAAGAUUUGUAAAAAGUCAUAUGGUUAGUUAAGUUUAGUAUACUUAAAUCUUUAUUUGUAGUUUCUGUUAAAAUCUUUUUAGGUCUUCCUUUACCUCUCCUCAUACCAAUAAUAUUAAUCAUUUUUUCUUUUUUAACCACUAUAUCCGGAUGUCUCUUAAGCUUAUGUCCAUAUCAUCUUAAACGAUUUUUUCUCAUCUUAUCCUUUAUCGAAGCGAUACCUAGUUGUUCACAAAUAAAAGUAUUUCUUCUCUUAAUAUUUCCUAGUAACUCCACACAUGCAUCUCAUCUUUCUUAUCUCGGUAACGUAAACUUUUUGUGUGUUAUUUCUUUACUAUCCAACAUUUAGAUCCAUAAAGCAUUAUUAAUCUCACAACCAUCUCAUAAAAAUUUUCUUUUAAUCUCAAAAGUAUAUGAUCAUACAAGACUCCUAACGCCCCUUAUCAUUUUAACUAUCAUAUUUUUACUCUAUGAAUAAUAUCUUCAUCGAUAUCUUCAUCUUAUUAAAUAAUUAAUCCAAGAUACCUAAAACCUUUAGUUGAAGGGACUUUUUGUCCAUUCAAUUUAACUAUAUUUUCCUAUCUAUUUCUAAAAUCACUAAAAUUACAUUUUAUAUAUUGAGUUUUAGUCCUCUAUUUAAUCUAAAAUAUUUAGUUUCUAAGGCUUACUUCCAUAGCUCAAGUUUAUAAUUAAUUUUAUUUAGGUUCUCAUCAACUAAGACAAUAUUAUUAGCAAAUACGUAUAUUAGGGAGGUCUAUCAUGUAAAUGACUAGUAAGUUCAUCCAUUAUCAAUGUGACAAGGUAGGACUUAAUGCCGAUCCUUGAUGUAGUCCCAUGCUAAUAAGAAAUUCACUAAACACACUCCUUAUAAAUCUAACAUUAGUAGCUACAUUAUCAUACAUAUCUUUAAUAACAUCAAUAUAAUUAGUGAAUACAUAUUUCUUUUCUAAAACCCACCAUAAUAAACCUCUUGAAACCCUAUCAUAGGCUUUCUCUAAGUCAAUAAAAAUCAGUAGUAGUCAAUCAUAUGACAAACUAAGUUGUAUUCCUUUGGUUGACUAAGUAGUGGAAUUGUGGAGUCAAUCAUAUGGCCUUAUGCUUCUUAUGGGAUAAAUAUCCUAUCCUAGUUGUAUUCCUUUUAUCAUGCUUCUAUUAACACACUUGUAGCUCAAUCUAAUGGCAUUUUUAUGUUAGCAUGUUAUCUUUAAUCAAUUCUUGACUCCUUGUGCUCUAGAACUUUUCUUGAGUUAUAAAAUUAUAGAUCCAGCAGAAUGUAUAUUAGACUGCUAGGAUAGCAUCAUCGUGAUUUUUAAACAUUAUUAUUAUAUAUACAUUGGCUAUUCAUUGAUAUCAUGAUUUCAGUAAGCAGAGCAUUGUGGGCUACAAAUAACAUUUAUUCUUUGCAUUUACAAUUUAAUUAUUUCAAAUGUAGCUUAAUUUUGCAGUGCCAAAAUGGCCAUACACUCUGUUCAACAUGUAAAACAAGGGUGCAGAAUCGGUGCCCUACUUGUCGACAAGAGCUUGGAGACAUCAGGUGUUUAGCACUGGAAAAGGUGGCGGAAUCGCUUGAGCUUCCAUGCAAAUAUUACUCACAUGGCUGCCCUGAAGUCUUUCCAUACUACAGCAAAUUGAAACAUGAAUCUCAGUGCAACUAUAGACCAUAUAAUUGCCCAUAUGCUGGAUCUGAAUGCUCAGUUGUGGGAGACAUUCCUUUCCUGGUCACACAUUUAAGAGAUGACCACAAAGUAGACAUGCACACUGGCUGCACGUUCAAUCAUCGAUAUGUCAAAUCCAAUCCCCGUGAGGUUGAAAAUGCCACAUGGAUGCUGACGGUAAGCAGUCUUGCUACAGUUUAAUACUUGAAAGUGCACAUAUUCUUAGGAAUCUUUUGCAAUUCUCUAAACUUUUUCACAUUUCAUUUCAAUUGGUCAAUUUGAAAUCUGGCAUUUAUCUAAUAGAAAGUGAACUUAGGUUGGGAAGUCAGCCACCUGCUAUGAAUAGCUUAAAAGAAAGAAUCAUGGUUGCUAGAAUGACUGCAUCAAUCACCAUGGCUUCUACUUUACUAGAAUUUUCAUUCCAUAAUUGGUGAUAUAGAUCAUUUAUUUGCUGUUCAAAUAUUUUAAAGUCUCUACUUAAUGUGGACUUCUGUUUAAUCUCUCUCGUGAAAAUUUUUUCUGCAUUGCAUGUCUUUCUAUCAUUUUCACAUUAAUUAUCUUUGCAGGUCUUUAACUGUUUUGGGCAGUCCUUCUGCUUGCACUUUGAGGCCUUCCAGCUAGGAAUGGCCCCUGUGUACAUGGCAUUUUUGCGCUUCAUGGGUGAUGAGAAUGACGCAAGGAACUUCAGUUAUAGUCUUGAAGUCGGGGCCAAUGGACGGAAACUAACAUGGGAAGGUACACCUCGGAGCAUCCGUGACAGUCACCGUAAAGUUCGCGACAGUCAUGACGGGCUCAUCAUACAGAGGAACAUGGCACUCUUCUUUUCGGGCUGCGAGCGGAAAGAGCUCAAACUGAGGGUCACUGGCCGGAUUUGGAAGGAGCAACAGAACAGCGAUGCUGCAGUUUGCAUGCCAAAUCUCUGCAGCUGAAAGCCAUUCCUAACCAUGCUGAGUUAUGGCCAUCAAUCUGGUUACAAUGCAGCAAGCACAAAGAUGCUUCACCAAUGUUACACUCUGAGACUUCUUAUAUGUUCUAAUUAUUAUAUGCGGCUCAAACAUUGUCUAAUGUGUGAAACUCAACCAUAAUGCUACUUAAGUUGCAAUUUGAACUUAAGAGCGUCCUGUGUUCUUCUAGAGUUAUCUAUUUAAAGAAAUAGCAUUAGCAAAUGUGAAGGAACAUGAAAGAGGUGAAUUGAUGCCAGAGGAGUUAGAUGGAGGUCUAAGAAGACAGUAUUAGAAUUUAUAAAUAAAUAUUUAAAUAUUUUCUAUUUAAUUUACUUAAGAAUAUAGCUAUGUUAUGGUUCAAAAGCAGAUAAAGAUAUUUAUCAACCCAAAUAAUUGGGACAUUACAUCUCUUUGCUAUUAUUAAAUGUGUAUUAUGUGGAUGGAUCUCUUCAACCAAACAAUUAGUAUAAAUUAUGAAACAAAUCAAUACGAAUUUUACUUGAUGGUCGAAAAUGUAUGUGUCCCAUAUCUGAUAUGGCGAGAUUGUCUCCCAUAUGUUUGAUCAUGUUUUCAUAAACGAGCUAAUUAGUUGGUUUUAACUUUAUAUAGUUAAAAGUGAAAUAUUUAACUUUAUUUACUUUAACACAUUUGGUUUUAUCAACGGAGGAAACAGUUGUGAUAGCACAGAAAAAAAUAAUAAUGAUUUUAAUAUCUAAAUUAUUUUUACGGUGGUAGCGAGUGGCGGCACCGCUGUGGGCUACAAGUGAUUGUGGUAAAUAAGAACGAUGUAGUGAUUGAUGAGAAUGCCAAGGACUUCUAUGGCUUCUUGCAAGGAGGAUGAGAGAGAGCGACAAUGAGAGGUGAGGCAAAGGGAGGGGAGGAAGAGGACGAUGUAAAUAUUGAUACUCUACAUUUGCGUCGACAUUGCUCAGCAAUUGUAUCGGUGCUGACACAGAUGCAGAGUAGUGAAAGAGCCACUCAGUAUCUGCAUCGGUGCCAAUGCAAAUGCAAAUGCAAGGGGCCAUUCAGCAUAUAUGCAUGCCGACAACAUUCUACAUCGCUUGUCCCUUUUUCCCGCCUUGCGCAUACUGAGCAUCGAAAGGGGGAAGAAGGAUGAGCACCACCCUUUCCUGUAUCGUUGUCGGUACUAAUGCAAAUAUAGAGUGUCAUCGAUGCAAAUCCCGAGCGACCAUUCUUCUCCUCAUAUGUAGAGCGAUGCUCUACAUUUGUAUUUACGUUAAUGUCAAUGCAAAUAUAGAAGGGAAGAAGGAUGAGCGAUGCUCAACAUCCCCACAUUAUUUGCACCCUUCAACCUUCUUCCCUCAUUGCGCAUGCUUGCUGAGAGAUGAAAGGGGGAAAAAGGAUAAAGGAUCGAGAAAGGGGGGAAGAAGGAUGAGCACCAUCAUUGCUCGUAUUAUUGUUGGCGUCGACACGGAUACAGUGUGUUGGCAUCUACAUUAUCCUUUUCUUUCUCUCCCUUUGUCUCGCCUCUUAUCGUCACUCUCCCUCUUCAUCCUCCUCCUCCCUUCAUAAGAAGUCGCAAAAGUCCCCAACAUUCUCGUCGACUAUUGCAUCGUUCUCAAUGAAUAUAGCUACCCACGACUCCUAGUGGCAUCGUUGUCCAUCACCACAAAAAAUGUAACUAAGACGUUGAAAUUAUCUUUUUGCUCAAUUUUUUUUAUCAUUCAUGCACAUGUUAUCACAUGUUAUAUUUUUUAUUGAAAAAAUUGAUAGUUGAAGUUAAAUAUUUCACUUUAAUAAUUAUAGAAAUUUUAAUAUAAUUUUUUUAAAUAUAAGGAUCAGGAUAUUAAAAAAAUCUAAUUACAGGAGUAAUAUAUAAUUAGCUCUCUCGUAACAGACUAUAUCUCUAAUAGAUGCUUAUUGGACUCCACGUGUCGAGUCCAAAAUAUGAUCAUAUCACUUAUCGAGAAUGGUCUGCCUUUCUUAGAAAAAUAUUAAAUCGUCUUUAUUGAAUGAAACAUAUAUGAUGUGUUUAGGAUAUAUUUAUAAUUUUUAAUAUACAAAUUUUUUUUGAAUAAAUAUGUAGUUGUGGAUUACUCCAAGUGUUUGAUAAAUAAUUGAUGAAAACUAUAUUUUAAAUAUGAAUUGACAUAAGUUUUGUUUGAUAAAAUUAUAUUUCAAAUGUUCAUCGAAUAUUUUAUGAUAACUAAAAUUAUAUUUCAAAAGUCAUUAAAUAUUAUAUGAUAAAUUUAACCUUGUAAUAUUUUUAAUAUUUAUUUUUUAAAAUAUAUAUUUUUAAAAUAAAAUAAAAUAUAUAAUCUUAUACAAAAUUUAUAUGGCUCAAAUAAAAAAUAUAAUCGUAUAAAUAAAUAUAAAAUAAUAUUUAAAAAUAAAUAAAUAAAAUUUGACCUUAUAGAAAAUACAAAUCAUAUUGAUUUCUCACUAAAUCAUUUUGGUAAUCUUGUAAUUUUAGAUAAAAUACAAGAAACAUUCAAAUUUUUAAAAAUUAUAUUAGAAUGCUAUAAAUACUGAAAUAAUAAUGUUACCCUGAGAUAUUAUCAGCAUUUAAGCAUUUUCAAUGCAUCAUCUAAGCUAGAUGAAAUUUAAAAAAAUAUAUAUUAAAUAACAAUUCAUAUUUAAAAUAUGCAUUGGACUCUUGAUGCACAUCUUAAAUGUAUUUCCAAAUGUACCCUUAUACUUAAUAAGUUAUUAGCUAAAUCACAUAUGUGGCUUGACAUUGUUGUUUCUUAUUCAUUGUGUUCACAUAAUUUCUCUUAAUUCAAAUACUUCAAAUAAACGUUCUCUUAAUUCACAAAGGAAAAAAAAAAACUCUACACCAACAUUCCACUUAUCUUAUGUUGAGAGUUUAGAAUCUUAUCUCAUAAGACUAGCUUGAUGGUGAUGUACUAAAUUUAUAUUAGAUCCACUUAAAUAUUAAGGAUUUGGAAUCUAAUCAAACAAAUUUAAAUAUGUCAGCGUAUCUAGUAAAGAUCUCGACUAUUGAGUAGUAAAGUAUCAGAUCGAACCCCAUCCUUAUCACUUAGUACUGCUUAAAACAUAUGAUGAACCCAGAGGAUCUACAGGAGAUCCUACUUCCUCAUGAGCACGGAAUAACUUCUAUAUGAUCUCUUCCUGAUACAUGCUGCCUGCUGUAGUAUUACAUGCGAACUUGUGUGUCUGUUUAACUGGCUCUUAUCGAUGAAGAUGGAAGAAGAAGAAGAAGAAGAAGAAGAAGACGUAGGUAGGAUUUUGACCUUUUGGUUUGAGGAGCUGAGAACAACUCACUAAAACCCAAUCGUGAGUGCCAACCUACUCCAAAUAAUUCCAGCUCUUCGAUCUCAACCGCAUGCAACACUAAAAUACACGCAGUCACUUCUCCGCUGAAACCCACCCUUUGCAUUGUUUAUGUCACAUUGCGUUCCCUCGGUACUAUACACGACAGACAAUAAUCCAAGGGAGAGAGGGAGGGAGUAGACAUCCACUUGUGCUCCG
Molecule: long non-coding RNA, 22194 nt
Filed under: Musa acuminata (dwarf banana)
Lineage: Eukaryota; Viridiplantae; Streptophyta; Magnoliopsida; Zingiberales; Musaceae
Description: long non-coding RNA (MACU_LNC000241)
Source: RNAcentral